This 253-nucleotide ribosomal RNA is filed under the name uncultured bacterium. RNAcentral describes it as "partial 16S ribosomal RNA". It matches the Rfam family "Bacterial small subunit ribosomal RNA", at positions 524 to 776 of the family's 1533-position model. The record is from RNAcentral.
UACGUAGGAUGCAAGCGUUGUUCGGAAUUACUGGGCGUAAAGAGUACGUAGGCGGUAUGGUAAGUCUGCUAUUAAAGACUCGAGCUUAACUCCAGGACUGUAGUGGAAACUGCCAAACUAGAGGACAAUAGAGGAAGUGGGAAUUCUCAGUGUAGCGGUGAAAUGCGUAGAUAUUGGGAAGAACACCAGUGGCGAAAGCGCACUUCUGGGUUGUUACUGACACUGAGGUGCGAAAGCGUGGGGAGCAAACAGG